Molecule: ribosomal RNA, 427 nt
Filed under: uncultured bacterium
Lineage: Bacteria
Description: partial 16S ribosomal RNA
Rfam family: Bacterial small subunit ribosomal RNA
Source: RNAcentral
UGGGGAAUAUUGCACAAUGGGCGCAAGCCUGAUGCAGCCAUGCCGCGUGUAUGAAGAAGGCCUUCGGGUUGUAAAGUACUUUCAGCGGGGAGGAAGGCGAUAAGGUUAAUAACCUUGUCGAUUGACGUUACCCGCAGAAGAAGCACCGGCUAACUCCGCGCCAGCAGCCGCGGUAAUACGGAGGGUGCAAGCGUUAAUCGGAAUUACUGGGCGUAAAGCGCACGCAGGCGGUCUGUCAAGUCGGAUGUGAAAUCCCCGGGCUCAACCUGGGAACUGCAUUCGAAACUGGCAGGCUAGAGUCUUGUAGAGGGGGGUAGAAUUCCAGGUGUAGCGGUGAAAUGCGUAGAGAUCUGGAGGAAUACCGGUGGCGAAGGCGGCCCCCUGGACAAAGACUGACGCUCAGGUGCGAAAGCGUGGGGAGCAAACA